AGAUUGAACGCUGGCGGCAGGCCUAACACAUGCAAGUCGAGCGGUAGAGGGGUGCUUGCACCUCUUGAGAGCGGCGGACGGGUGAGUAAUGCCUAGGAAUCUGCCUAGUGGUGGGGGAUAACGUUCGGAAACGGACGCUAAUACCGCAUACGUCCUACGGGAGAAAGCGGGGGACCUUCGGGCCUCGCGCCAUUAGAUGAGCCUAGGUCGGAUUAGCUAGUUGGUGAGGUAAUGGCUCACCAAGGCGACGAUCCGUAACUGGUCUGAGAGGAUGAUCAGUCACACUGGAACUGAGACACGGUCCAAGACCCUACGGA
Molecule: ribosomal RNA, 317 nt
Filed under: uncultured soil bacterium
Lineage: Bacteria
Description: bacterial SSU rRNA
Rfam family: Bacterial small subunit ribosomal RNA
Source: RNAcentral